UCACCAAUGGCGGGACGGGGUAGGCUAGGGGAACCCAGGCGAUGGUCGUCCUGGGGUAACCGCGUAGGGCGAGUGAUAGGGAAAUCCGUCACUCAUAUAGCCUGAGACGGGAUGCCGAGUCCGCAUGGACGAAGUCCUUGAAGCCAUGCCUCCUAGAAAAGCGUCUAGGGAGGUUGCGCGUGCCCGUACCAAAACCGACACAGGUAGGCAGGUAGAGAAUACCAAGGCGAUCGGAAGAACCCUCGUUAAGGAACUCGGCAAAAUGGCCCCGUAACUUCGGGAGAAGGGGCGCCCCAGUAGAGUGACAUUCCUUCGCGGAAUCGAGCUCGAGGGGGCCGCAGUGAAACGGCCCAAGCGACUGUUUACCAAAAACACAGGUCUCUGCGAAGUCGUAAGACGACGUAUAGGGGCUGACGCCUGCCCGGUGCUGGAAGGUCACGAGGAGAGGUUAGCCUUCGGGCGAAGCUUUGAAUCCAAGCCCCAGUAAACGGCGGCGGUAACUAUAACCGUCCUAAGGUAGCGAAAUUCCUUGUCGGGUAAGUUCCGACCUGCACGAAUGGCGUAACGACUUGGGCGCUGUCUCAACGAGGGAUCCGGUGAAAUUGUAGUCUCGGUGAAGAUGCCGAGUACCCGUGGCUGGACGGAAAGACCCCGUGAACCUUUACUACAGCUUUGCGUUGAAGUUUGGUGUUCGUUGUCCAGGAUAGGUGGGAGACUUUGAAGCGGGGGCGUCAGCCCUCGUGGAGUCAACCUUGGGAUACCACCCUAUGGAUUCUGGGCUUCUAACCCGAUGCCGUGAUCCGGGUCGGGAACAGCGUGAGGUGGGUAGUUUGACUGGGGCGGUCGCCUCCUAAAAUGUAACGGAGGCGCGCAAAGGUUCCCUCAGCACGGUUGGAAAUCGUGCGUAGAGCGUAAUGGCAUAAGGGAGCUUGACUGCGAGACUGACAAGUCGAGCAGGGACGAAAGUCGGCCAUAGUGAUCCGGCGGUAGAGAGUGGAAUCGCCGUCGCUCAACGGAUAAAAGGUACUCCGGGGAUAACAGGCUUAUCCUCCCCAAGAGUCCACAUCGACGGGAGGGUUUGGCACCUCGAUGUCGGCUCGUCGCAUCCUGGGGCUGAAGCAGGUCCCAAGGGUUGGGCUGUUCGCCCAUUAAAGCGGUACGCGAGCUGGGUUCAGAACGUCGUGAGACAGUUCGGUCCCUAUCCGCCAUGGACGCUGGGAACUUGAGAGGAGUCGUCUCUAGUACGAGAGGACCGAGAUGAACAGACCUCUGGUGUAUCAGUUGUCGUGCCAACGGCACUGCUGACUAGCUACGUCUGGACGGGAUAACCGCUGAAAGCAUCUAAGCGGGAAGCCCACCUCAAGAUGAGGUUCCCCAUCACUUCGAGUGAGUAAGGGCCGUGGUAGACCACCACGUUGAUAGGCGGGCGGUGUAAGCACAGCAAUGUGUUCAGCUGACCCGUACUAAUUGCCCGAGGUCUC
This 1481-nucleotide ribosomal RNA is filed under the name metagenome. RNAcentral describes it as "bacterial LSU rRNA". It matches the Rfam family "Bacterial large subunit ribosomal RNA", at positions 1458 to 2925 of the family's 2925-position model. The record is from RNAcentral.